AUGGUGGCUCAGAGGAACUCCAGGCAAAGGCACCGGCUCCUCUAUGCUCAGACCCCCAACCUUGCGGGGGGUCCCCGUCACCUCCCCUUACAGAGGGAAUUGCAGAAAAAAGACCAGAUUCUCCCUCAUUGGGUGUACGCCCAAAUCUUUCGGUCUCACAUCGACAUUGCACUCCAUCACUUUAUUCCUGCAUCGCUCCUGCUUUUCCACACGGAGGUGGGUCACAUGGUUAAAUCAAAUUCAGGGAGACCCACAACAGCAGUUCAGGAGCAUCCCACACUUUGGGGAAGUGUUGUCAUGGGAACAGAUGAGGCCAGGCCGGUGUGAUGUGGAGCAGGGCUCCUCAUACGUUAGGGAGCAUUAGACUCACUUAAAGAGCUUGUUAAAACGCAGAUGAUGGGCCCUGUCUCCAGACUUUCAGUAGUGAUGAGGUUUGGAGGUUCAUGGGGUUUGGAGCUGACAGCCAAGAAAGAAUUCUUGAAGAUGUCUUUGGUGCAAAAAGGUGAUUUUACUAAAUCACAGGGACAGGACCCUGGGCAGGAAAGGCUGCACCGGGGUUGUGAAGAGUGGCUUAUUUUAUACUAUGAAGUUGGGGAGUUAAGUCAGAAGGGAGGCCUCCAGAGGGACUUUGAUACGCCGAAGAGGACUCCUAAGUUGCUUGAGGCCUUGCUGUUGUCAAGAUGAUGUUGCUCUCCCUCUAGUAAGGCAUUAACAUUAGGGCAGUAGGGGGUUCCUAGAGAAAUGCUGUGCUCUGUAUUUGCCUCAAGUAUUUGUCAACGGGCUGCAGGUUAUGAGGAAAUGUAAUUCUACCCGCCAUUUCCUUCUUGCCUUGUUCCCCACAUCACUAUGGAGGGGGGAUGUUGGGGCUCCAGGGGACUGAGUCUACAGGUUACUGGAGAUCAGGCUGUUGAUCAGAUUGCCUUUUUCUUAUAAUUUACUGAUAUUUAUAAACUGAUGGAGACUCAGUUUAACCAUUUAUUUUCUGUCCUUUCCUUUGUCCUGGGCAGCCAGGGGGACUGGAGGAAUAUCCCGCCUGGGUGGGGGAGGGGGUGCCCUCAGCCUGCCCCAUGCUCCCUCAUCAAGUAGGACUCUGACAGGGACUGCUAAUUUGCAUUUAGGAUUGUAAGAUUAGCAAAUUAGAAAAAAACCCUAAGAUGUCUAAUUAAAUUUGAAUUUCAGAUAAACAACAUUUUUAAAAGGAUAAGUAUGUUUCAAAAUUACAUGGGACAUACUCACCCUAAAUAUUUUUUAACAUAAAAUUUAUUCGUUGCUGAAAUUCCAGUUGAACUGGGUAUCUUUAAUUCUAUCUGGCAACAUAAUUUGCAUUUCUUUAAAAAAAUUUUAAUGUAAAUUUUUGAGAGAGAGAGCAAGCAGGGAAGGGACACAGAGAGAGGGAGGCACAGAAUCUGAAGCAGGCUCCAGGCUCUGAGCUGUCAGCACAGAGUCCAACAAGGAGCUCGAACUCAGGAGUUGUGAGAUCGUGACCUGAGCUGAAGUCAGAUGCUUAACUGACUGAGACACCCAGGUGCCCCUCUUUUUUUUUUUUUUAAUGUUUAUUUUUGUGAGAAAGAGAACAUGUGUGCACAGCAUCCCAACCAGGCUCUGUCUGCGCUUAUAGGAGAGACCCUGAAGCAAGGCUCAAUCCCAUGAACCUUGAGAUCAUGACCUGAGUUGAAAUCAAGAGUCCCAUGGUUAACUGACUGAAACACCCAGGCACCGCCAUAAUAUGCAUUUCUAACAAGGGACACUGGGGAUGAAGAUGUUCCUGGUCUGGAGACCACAGUUGGAGCCACAGGUAUAGACUAGGAUGCAGGCAGAGCCCUAGGGAACACCAAGAUUUAACAAGCAAAAAAAAAAAAAAAAAAAUCUGAGCAGGAAUGUAAGCAAGGCAGCAGAAUUAGGAGUGUAUUUUUGAAACCCAAAGGAGAAUAAAAGCUUUAAAUACAUGGAGUGAUCAACAGGGUCACGUGUCAGAGAGAGUUUGGGGGAUGCUGUGGACUGAAAAAAAGAAAUCACGUUUGGCAACAAGGAAGCCAGGGAUCUUCAUGAAAGCAUUUUCAGAGCGCUGGUGGAGCAGAAGCCAGCUUGUGGUGGCAAACCGUGGGGGCAUCACGAUGGAGAUGACUGCGUGCCUGUGAUUAUUUGGAGGGCCUCGUUUGUGAGGCAAAAUAAAGGGGGGUGCGGGGGCGCGUGAAGGUAUUUUUAUUAAGGGGGAUGGCUACUGGGGCCCCUGGGUGGCUCAUUCGGUUCAGCGUCCCACUGUGGCUCAGGUCAUGAUUUCACGAUUCCUAAGUUCGAGCCCAAUGUUGGACUCUCUGCUGUCAGUGUGGAGCCUGCUUAGGAUGCUCUUCUCCUUGCUCCUGUGCCCUCUUUCUCUUUCUUAAAAAUAAAUAGACAUUAAAAAAAUUUUUUUUUUAAAAGGGAGAUGGUGACUAUAUUUUAAGGCCAUAGAUAAAGUCGGUAGAAGGAACACCUAAAAUUACAGACUCUAGAGAAUAGCAAAUAGGGCACAGGUCUAGAGAUCUCCAGCUGCGGAAGCAGAAAGAAGACGCAAGUAGGCAGAAAGAGGGGGAGGCAGA
RNAcentral lists this long non-coding RNA (2579 nucleotides) under Suricata suricatta (meerkat). RNAcentral's name for it is "lncRNA (ENSSSUG00005014311.1)". Lineage: Eukaryota; Metazoa; Chordata; Mammalia; Carnivora; Herpestidae. The record is from RNAcentral.